Molecule: non-coding RNA, 59 nt
Organism: Biomphalaria glabrata
Lineage: Eukaryota; Metazoa; Mollusca; Gastropoda; Planorbidae
Source: Rfam
GUGGCUGAGCGGUAAAGUGCUUGGUUUCCGAACCAGGUGUCCCGGGUUCGAAUCCUGGC